This 19-nucleotide microRNA is filed under the name Ciona intestinalis (vase tunicate). RNAcentral's name for it is "cin-miR-4219-5p". The record is from miRBase by way of RNAcentral. Lineage: Eukaryota; Metazoa; Chordata; Ascidiacea; Phlebobranchia; Cionidae.
CAUGCUGAUUGUGACGUAA